GGACCUGACUGCUAUCGGAUUGAUACUAAGCCAUGCGAGUCAUUGUAGAAUCCAGGGCAGACGGCUCAGUAACGCGUAGUCAACCUACCCUAUGGACGGGAAUAACCUCGGGAAACUGAGUAUAAUGCCCGAUAGAACAUUAUACCUGGAAUGGUUUAUGUUCCAAAUGAUUUAUCGCCGUAGGAUGGGACUGCGGCCUAUCAGUUUGUUGGUGAGGUAAUGGCCCACCAAGACUAUUACAGGUACGGGCUCUGAGAGGAGUGGCCCGGAGAUGGGUACUGAGACACGGACCCAGGCCCUAUGGGGCGCAGCAGGCGAGAAAACUUUGCAAUGUGCGAAAGCACGACAAGGUUAAUCCGAGUGGUUUCUGCUAAAGGAACCUUUUGUCAGUCCUAGAAACACUGAUGAAUAAGGGGUGGGCAAGUUCUGGUGU
RNAcentral lists this ribosomal RNA (433 nucleotides) under uncultured archaeon. RNAcentral's name for it is "bacterial SSU rRNA". It matches the Rfam family "Archaeal small subunit ribosomal RNA", at positions 19 to 458 of the family's 1478-position model. The record is from RNAcentral.